Camelina sativa (false flax) is the source of this 1203-nucleotide non-coding RNA. Lineage: Eukaryota; Viridiplantae; Streptophyta; Magnoliopsida; Brassicales; Brassicaceae. The record is from RefSeq and is a predicted model, not a curated record.
AAAAGACAAAAAAAAAAUUUGCCCAUUUUCUUCUUCUUUUUUGCGACUCUCUCUCUCGACGGAACAGGCGGUUCUCUCUACACUUGAAUCGAUUGAUUUUUGACACCAAUUUUAUACUGUCCCCUCUUUGAAUUGUUUCGUCGUCUUCAGCUCUUCAUCGGCCGUUGUACUUUCCAGUGACAAGAAAGAGAGAGAGAGUUCGGAGAGACAGAUCCUCAUCGUCUUGGUUCUUGUUUCUUCCUCGAUCUGUCGAUCUUCUCCUCCGAUUUAAGGUUGAUAUCGCUGUGGGUGGAUGGCAUUCGACAGCAUUAACCAAUGAAGGAGAGGUAUUAGACACUCGUAUCUAAAGCUUUGUUAUUUCAUUGAUGAUUUUGUCACAAACACUUGGUGUGCAUAGGCGAAAGGUUUGAAAACUAUGAAAGUUUUGUCUUUUUUUUUUUUACUUUAUAACAUGUUCCAAACUGUUAUAAUACGUUGAUAGAGCCAUUUUUGGAUUGUUUAUGGAGACAUAACAUACUUUGAAGUCUCAGAGUGACCAUAAUGUACUACCAUUGGAAGAAUCAUUUGAAUUGUAUAGGGCUAGUGAUAGCUGAAAGACAUUGAAGGAGCUUGAGAAAGCGAUUAUAGUUUAUUGGGAUGCCAAAGAUAAUGUGGACUAUAAGGUAACACUGUUUCUCUAUUUCCAUUCUGAAUCACUAAUGUCUGUAUUUCUGAACUAACACAACCUCCAUUCUACUGAACUUAGCAAACCUUUCUUAACACAAAACUCUUUGAAGUCAAAAAGCUAAGAUUUUUGUAGAGUGUGUGACAUGAGUCGAGAGUAGAAGAAAUUUGUUGAAUUUCAGGUGCAGAAAAGGCUUAGCCAAGUGGAAAUGAAGAACUAGGAGGCGGCGUAUCAGGCGUGGUUGGGUUACUACAAAUCUCAGAAGAUGAUUGCAAGAGACACUACCAGACUGGUGGAUUCAGCCGCAGCAUGGGACUUGACAACCCACCAGCUAUCGUAAAAAAUGUUCUUGGCAAGAUGGGUCUCAAAAACGUUCCUGGUCUUAGAACCAAGUAGAUUUUUUAAGCUAGUGAUUUGCUUUUGUCUGAAAACUUUAAUGCUUUGUAAGUGUAAUCUCUUGUCAUUCUUGCUACACUUUAGACUUUCUAACUAAAACAUCCGAUAAAAGUUACCUUCUUAUGAAAAUCUUUUGCUUGUAA